UCUUCCCUCUGGCGGCGUGCCUAAUACAUGCAAGUCGAGCGAACAGACGAGGAUCUUGCUCCUCUGACGUUAGCGGCGCAGGUGAGAGAAACACGUGUAUAACCUACCUAUAAUACUGGUAUAUCUUCGGGAAUCCGGAUCUAAUACCGGAUAAUAUAUUGAACCGCAUUGUUGGAUGGUGAAAGACGGCGGUGCUGGCACGUAUAGAUGGAUCCGCGCCGCAUGAGCUAGUUGGUAAGGUAACGGCUUACCAAGGCAACGAGGCGUAGCCGACCUGAGAGGGUGAUCGCCCACACUGGAAGUGGGACACGGUCCAGGCUCCUACGGGAGGCAGCAGUCGGCAAUGUGACGCAGCGGGCGAGAGCAUGGCAGAGCAGGGCCGAGUGAGAGGUGACGGUGUUCGGAUCGUAAAGAUCUGUUAUGAGUGAAGAACAACUGUGUAAGUAACCAUGGACGGCGUGACGGUACCGGAUAAGAAAGCCACGGCUAACUACGUG
Molecule: ribosomal RNA, 497 nt
Filed under: uncultured bacterium
Lineage: Bacteria
Description: partial 16S ribosomal RNA
Rfam family: Bacterial small subunit ribosomal RNA
Source: RNAcentral